UACGUAGGGUGCAAGCGUUAAUCGGAAUUACUGGGCGUAAAGCGUGCGCAGGCGGUCUUGCAAGACAGAUGUGAAAUCCCCGGGCUCAACCUGGGAACUGCAUUUGUGACUGCAAGGCUGGAGUGCGGCAGAGGGGGAUGGAAUUCCGCGUGUAGCAGUGAAGUGCGUAGAUAUGCGGAGGAACACCGAUGGCGAAGGCAAUCCCCUGGGCCUGCACUGACGCUCAUGCACGAAAGCGUGGGGAGCAAACAGG
RNAcentral lists this ribosomal RNA (253 nucleotides) under uncultured bacterium. RNAcentral describes it as "partial 16S ribosomal RNA". It matches the Rfam family "Bacterial small subunit ribosomal RNA", at positions 524 to 776 of the family's 1533-position model. The record is from RNAcentral.